AGCGAAAUUCCUUGUCGGGUAAGUUCCGACCUGCACGAAUGGCGUAACGAUGGCGGCGCUGUCUCCACCCGAGACUCAGUGAAAUUGAAAUCGCUGUGAAGAUGCAGUGUAUCCGCGGCUAGACGGGAAGACCCCGUGAACCUUUACUGUAGCUUUGCACUGGACUUUGAGCCUGCUUGUGUAGGAUAGGUGGGAGGCUUUGAAGCGUGGACGCCAGUUCGCGUGGAGCCAUCCUUGAAAUACCACCCUGGCAUGCUUGAGGUUCUAACUCUGGUCCGUGAUCCGGAUCGAGGACAGUGUAUGGUGGGCAGUUUGACUGGGGCGGUCUCCUCCUAAAGAGUAACGGAGGAGUACGAAGGUGCGCUCAGACCGGUCGGAAAUCGGUCGCAGAGUAUAAAGGCAAAAGCGCGCUUGACUGCGAGACAGACACGUCGAGCAGGUACGAAAGUAGGUCUUAGUGAUCCGGUGGUUCUGUAUGGAAGGGCCAUCGCUCAACGGAUAAAAGGUACUCCGGGGAUAACAGGCUGAUACCGCCCAAGAGUUCAUAUCGACGGCGGUGUUUGGCACCUCGAUGUCGGCUCAUCACAUCCUGGGGCUGAAGCCGGUCCCAAGGGUAUGGCUGUUCGCCAUUUAAAGUGGUACGCGAGCUGGGUUUAGAACGUCGUGAGACAGUUCGGUCCCUAUCUGCCGUGGACGUUUGAGAUUUGAGAGGGGCUGCUCCUAGUACGAGAGGACCGGAGUGGACGAACCUCUGGUGUUCCGGUUGUCACGCCAGUGGCAUUGCCGGGUAGCUAUGUUCGGAAAAGAUAACCGCUGAAAGCAUCUAAGCGGGAAACUUGCCUCAAGAUGAGAUCUCACUGGGAACUUGAUUCCCCUGAAGGGCCGUCGAAGACUACGACGUUGAUAGGCUGGGUGUGUAAGCGUUGUGAGGCGUUGAGCUAACCAGUACUAAUUGCCCGUGAGGCUUGACCAU
This 973-nucleotide ribosomal RNA is filed under the name Pseudomonas aeruginosa JD326. RNAcentral describes it as "bacterial LSU rRNA". It matches the Rfam family "Bacterial large subunit ribosomal RNA", at positions 1958 to 2925 of the family's 2925-position model. The record is from RNAcentral. Lineage: Bacteria; Pseudomonadati; Pseudomonadota; Gammaproteobacteria; Pseudomonadales; Pseudomonadaceae.